Molecule: ribosomal RNA, 403 nt
Filed under: uncultured bacterium
Lineage: Bacteria
Description: bacterial SSU rRNA
Rfam family: Bacterial small subunit ribosomal RNA
Source: RNAcentral
UGGGGGAUAUUGCACAAUGGGGGAAACCCUGAUGCAGCAACGCCGCGUGAAGGAAGACGGUUUUCGGAUUGUAAACUUCUGUUCUUGGUGAAGAAUAAUGACGGUAGCCAAGCAGCAAGCCACGGCUAACUACGUGCCAGCAGCCGCGGUAAUACGUAGGUGGCGAGCGUUGUCCGGAAUUACUGGGUGUAAAGGGAGCGCAGGCGGGAAAUCAAGUCAGCUGUGAAAACUACGGGCUCAACCCGUAGACUGCAGUUGAUACUGGUAGUCUUGAGUGCAGUAGAGGUAAGCGGAAUGCGUGGUGUAGCGGUGAAAUGCUUAGAUAUCACGCAGAACUCCAAUUGCGAAGGCAGCUUGCUAAACUAUAACUGACACUGAGGCACGAAAGCGUGGGUAUCAAACA